AAAGCGUGCGCAGGCGGUUUUGUAAGACUGUCGUGAAAUCCCCGGGCUCAACCUGGGAAUGGCGAUGGUGACUGCAAGGCUAGAGUUUGGCAGAGGGGGGUAGAAUUCCACGUGUAGCAGUGAAAUGCGUAGAUAUGUGGAGGAACACCGAUGGCGAAGGCAGCCCCCUGGACCUGUACUGACGCUCAUGCACGAAAGCGUGGGGAGCAAACAGGAUUAGAUACCCCAGU
This 230-nucleotide ribosomal RNA is filed under the name uncultured bacterium. RNAcentral describes it as "partial 16S ribosomal RNA". It matches the Rfam family "Bacterial small subunit ribosomal RNA", at positions 562 to 791 of the family's 1533-position model. The record is from RNAcentral.